Molecule: long non-coding RNA, 1232 nt
Filed under: Heterocephalus glaber (naked mole-rat)
Lineage: Eukaryota; Metazoa; Chordata; Mammalia; Rodentia; Bathyergidae
Description: lncRNA (ENSHGLG00100050078.1)
Source: RNAcentral
GUGGACUCUGGGCUUUUGUUCUACUCUCGGACCAGUCCCGGGGAGGGAGGGGGCGGUAGUAAGCGUGGGAUUGACUGUGUGUGCAGCUCUGCGAUCUGGUGUGCCUGGGGAUUGGGGACGACCUGGUGCUAGCCUUGUUCCUGAAUGAAACAGGUGUGUGGGGGCUGUUUCUGACUUGGGUAGAUGGGGUGGUUCUUAGCUUAAGUGUCCCAGGAUACCUACUUGUGAAUGUGGGAGUGCAUGGGGCAUAGCGACUGUGUAGCACUGGUGUGGUGUGGUCAUGUGGUUGUGUGGCUGAAUAACAGUUACGGAUUGAGGUUUUCCUCCUUCUAUGUGACUGUGCUCUGCUCCUGCUUGACAGGAGACAUGUCAUUCUGAGACUUUGUGUGACCCUGUCCCUUUGUGUCUCUAGGUGUUUGCUCGUUUUUGUGCCAGGGUUUCAUGCCUCCAUGGCUUGUGUAUCACAGUGGUGUAUAUAUCCACAGGAUGUACAUGCACGUGUGUAUGACGGGUGUCUGCAUAUGCAUGCAAACAGCAUGUGGUCCUGUGUCUGAGGUGUGGUGUGCAUGGAGGGGUGAGUGUCCCUUGGGUCAUAGUGGACAGGGUGUGGGCAGUGAUUUGGGUGGAGGAAUGAGGCAGCUCUGGGCUGGCCUGGCCUCAUGGAAACAGAGAAAGGGGAUUCCGUGGGCUGGUGCUGGAUCAUUUGCUGCCUCCACAAGCUGCCACAGGGCCUGGUAUCCAUGGGUGGAUGAGGGAUUUGCCCUUUUGGAAGGGAGCAGUGGUUUGGGGAGGAGCUUGCUUUGACAAGAGCCUGGUUCUUCAUCUUGUCAUCUUAGGAGGGGUGAUAGAGACCCUGGUUGUGCCUAUCAUUUUGGGUCACUAAGAUGUUCAGAAGAGGGUGGGUAUAAGCCACAUGCCAUAUGGAGUCACCCUCAUGAAGGCCAGGUGUGGUAGGAGUCUGCCCUGGCCAAACCCAGGCAGGUCCACUUUGUGGAAGGAGCUGAUGGGAGGGCUCACUGUGAUCUUGGCUGGACAUGUGUCCUGAGGUCUGGCCAGUCUGUCCCAUGAGCCCUGCUCCAGGAAUGGUGAACACCUUUAUACCCAAAAAGUUUUCUGUGUGGCUGGUUUGUUAAAGGAGAAGGUGCCAGAAUCUCUCAGACUCCAAGAAUUCCAUUAAGAAGACCCUGGUUUGGAGAAGAGACAAGACCCUUGGCUACCAGGGAUCAUGGCAG